This 492-nucleotide ribosomal RNA is filed under the name uncultured bacterium. RNAcentral's name for it is "partial 16S ribosomal RNA". It matches the Rfam family "Bacterial small subunit ribosomal RNA", at positions 29 to 507 of the family's 1533-position model. The record is from RNAcentral.
AGUGAACGCUGGCGGUAGGCCUAACACAUGCAAGUCGAACGGCAGCACAGUAAGAGCUUGCUCUUACGGGUGGCGAGUGGCGGACGGGUGAGGAAUACAUCGGAAUCUACUUUUUCGUGGGGGAUAACGUAGGGAAACUUACGCUAAUACCGCAUACGACCUACGGGUGAAAGCAGGGGAUCUUCGGACCUUGCGCGAUUGAAUGAACCGAUGUCGGAUUAGCUAGUUGGCGGGGUAAAGGCCCACCAAGGCGACGAUCCGUAGCUGGUCUGAGAGGAUGAUCAGCCACACUGGAACUGAGACACGGUCCAGACUCCUACGGGAGGCAGCAGUGGGGAAUAUUGGACAAUGGGCGCAAGCCUGAUCCAGCCAUACCGCGUGGGUGAAGAAGGCCUUCGGGUUGUAAAGCCCCUUUGUUGGGAAAGAAAAGCAGCAGGUUAAUACCCCGCUGUUCUGACGGUACCCAAAGAAUAAGCACCGGCUAACUUCGUG